AGUGAACGCUGGCGGUAGGCCUAACACAUGCAAGCCGAACGGCAGCACAGUAAGAGCUUGCUCUUACGGGUGGCGAGUGGUGGACGGGUGAGGAAUACAUCGGAAUCUACUUUUUCGUGGGGGAUAACGUAGGGAAACUUACGCUAAUACCGCAUACGACCUACGGGUGAAAGCAGGGGAUCUUCGGACCUUGCGCGAUUGAAUGAGCCGAUGUCGGAUUAGCUAGUUGGCGGGGUAAAGGCCCACCAAGGCGACGAUCCGUAGCUGGUCUGAGAGGAUGAACAGCCACACUGGAACUGAGCCACGGUCCAGACUCCUACGGGAGGCAGCAGUGGGGAAUAUUGGACAAUGGGCGCAAGCCUGAUCCAGCCAUACCGCGUGGGUGAAGAAGGCCUUCGGGUUGUAAAGCCCUUUUGUUGGGAAAGAAAAGCAGCAGGUUAAUACCCCGCUGUUCUGACGGUACCCAAAGAAUAAGCACCGGCUAACUUCGUG
Molecule: ribosomal RNA, 492 nt
Filed under: uncultured bacterium
Lineage: Bacteria
Description: partial 16S ribosomal RNA
Rfam family: Bacterial small subunit ribosomal RNA
Source: RNAcentral